Molecule: long non-coding RNA, 567 nt
Organism: Cornus florida
Lineage: Eukaryota; Viridiplantae; Streptophyta; Magnoliopsida; Cornales; Cornaceae
Exons: 2
Source: RefSeq, a predicted model, not a curated record
GUUAAAUAAAAUUUUAAUUCACCUGUGGGGCCCACAUGAUUUGUAAGCCAAUAUUAUUACCUUUUUCUUCUUCUCUGCGUAUUACGUUCUCUCUCAUUCCAGAAGCUCUCUAGAAUUUUUUUUUUUUUCUUUUUAUGGUUUCAAUUUCAAUCUUUGAUUCCAUCUUCAUUACUUGCCGGAUUUAGGUGCCGUUUGAGGCAAAACAACGAGUGUGACGAGCUCUACGCGUUGAUGCAAGCAAUUUCCAGUUUUGAGUUUUCUUUGGAACUCGAAAAUUUAAACCAAUUUCUAGGGUUUUGCCUAUUUUGAGGUCUUGCGAAAGAACCGGUGAACGACAACCGACCUCAAGCUUGAGCGAUACUAGAAGCUCACUUUUGUGUCUUUUGUAUAUCUCCCAUUAUUUUUGCAAAGCACUAAAAGUGUGAAGGUGUAUAUGUAUAUUUUGCAAAAUUUUGUUAUGUAAUGUAAUUAAGGUAUUUGAUGAUAAUUUGGAUGUGAAUUUGAUAACAUGUAAACCUUAUUGAUGCAUGGGGAGAGUAAUACUAGUUUGAGGUAUUAUCGAGGUCA